CCGUGAUCCCGUCCCUUUCUGUUUUGAAAAUGGUACAACUAACUUUACCAGCAAAUAAGUAAUAAAUCUAAAUUACAUACGUGGAGCUUUCUCCAAUCGUGGGAGAGCAUCUGUCAUAGAGGAAAACAAAAAAUUGCAACCAAAGCAUUAGAGGAUGAUUAUAUUAUAUAUACUUUUACACUGAGAUUGGAGAAGUAUCAGUAUUUG
This 207-nucleotide unclassified non-coding RNA is filed under the name Hevea brasiliensis (rubber tree). Lineage: Eukaryota; Viridiplantae; Streptophyta; Magnoliopsida; Malpighiales; Euphorbiaceae. The record is from RNAcentral.